Molecule: transfer RNA, 84 nt
Filed under: Bacteroidota bacterium
Lineage: Bacteria; Pseudomonadati; Bacteroidota
Also listed under: 1 other name
Description: Bacteroidetes bacterium (activated sludge metagenome) tRNA-Leu
Rfam family: tRNA
About the family: Transfer RNA (tRNA) molecules are approximately 80 nucleotides in length. Their secondary structure includes four short double-helical elements and three loops (D, anti-codon, and T loops).
Source: RNAcentral
GCCGAAAUGGCGGAACUGGUAGACGCGCCGGACUCAAAAUCCGGUUAGGUUAAACUAGUAAGGGUUCGAGUCCCUUUUUCGGCA